Molecule: ribosomal RNA, 478 nt
Filed under: uncultured bacterium
Lineage: Bacteria
Description: partial 16S ribosomal RNA
Rfam family: Bacterial small subunit ribosomal RNA
Source: RNAcentral
GACGAACGCUGGCGGCGUGCUUAACACAUGCAAGUCGAACGGUAAGGCCCUUCGGGGUACACGAGUGGCGAACGGGUGAGUAACACGUGGGUGAUCUGCCCUGCACUUUGGGAUAAGCCUGGGAAACUGGGUCUAAUACCGGAUAGGACCAUGCGCUGCACGGUGUGUGGUGGAAAGCUUUUGCGAUGUGGGAUGGGCCCGCGGCCUAUCAGCUUGUUGGUGGGGUAAUGGCCUACCAAGGCGACGACGGGUAGCCGGCCUGAGAGGGUGACCGGCCACACUGGGACUGAGAUACGGCCCAGACUCCUACGGGAGGCAGCAGUGGGGAAUAUUGCACAAUGGGCGCAAGCCUGAUGCAGCGACGCCGCGUGAGGGAUGACGGCCUUCGGGUUGUAAACCUCUUUCAGUAGGGACGAAGCGCAAGUGACGGUACCUACAGAAGAAGGACCGGCCAACUACGUGCCAGCAGCCGCGGUAA